RNAcentral lists this ribosomal RNA (503 nucleotides) under uncultured bacterium. RNAcentral's name for it is "partial 16S ribosomal RNA". It matches the Rfam family "Bacterial small subunit ribosomal RNA", at positions 28 to 507 of the family's 1533-position model. The record is from RNAcentral.
GACGAACGCUGGCGGCGUGCUUAACACAUGCAAGUCGAACGGUGAAGCGCUUUCCUUUUUGGUUGGUGUGGAUGAGUGGCGAACGGGUGAGUAACACGUGAGUAACCUGCCCCCUUCUUCUGGAUAACCGCAUGAAAGUGUUGCUAAUACGGGAUAUUCUGCGCCUGCUGCAUGGUGGGUGUGGGAAAGAUUGUGCCUUUGGGUGUUUUCGGUGGGGGAUGGGCUCGCGGCCUAUCAGCUUGUUGGUGGGGUGAUGGCCUACCAAGGCGGUGACGGGUAGCCGGCCUGGGAGGGUGGACGGUCACACUGGGACUGAGACACGGCCCAGACGACUACGGGAGGCAGCAGUGGGGAAUAUUGCACAAUGGGCGCAAGCCUGAUGCAGCGACGCCGCGUGAGGGAUGGAGGCCUUCGGGGUGUGAACCUCUUUCGCCAGUGAAGCAGGCCUGCUCCUUGUGGGUGGGUUGACGGUAGCUGGAGAAGAAGCGCCGGCUAACUACGUG